Pelobates cultripes (western spadefoot toad) is the source of this 304-nucleotide non-coding RNA. The record is from the annotation of a GenBank genome assembly. NCBI's taxonomy places the organism in Eukaryota, Metazoa, Chordata, Amphibia, Anura, Pelobatidae.
CCCCCUGCCAUGGCGGCUGUCACGGCAGCUGCCACAAUAGUUUACCAUUAUGUGUGGUUAAGAACGUCCACCAUAUGUGUAGGUCUGCCGUGGCUUGGUUGUCUAGGGACAGCCCCUGAUCAUCAUGCGGGAGUGUGCAAAAAGCAAAGUGGUCUUAGAUGAAAGCGCGGCCUGUGGUAUGAUGCGCAUAGCAAAAUUUAAGGAACCUGGUAGGGAUUGUAGUUCCAUGCGGUUGCAAGUACCAAGCAGGAGGUGGUAAUUGGUGUUGUUGCGACUGUUCCAAUUCUCACGUGGUAACUUGUUG